UGAGUUUGAUCCUGGCUCAGAUUGAACGCUGGCGGCAGGCCUAACACAUGCAAGUCGAGCGGUAACAUUUCUAGCUUGCUAGAAGAUGACGAGCGGCGGACGGGUGAGUAAUGCUUGGGAACGUGCCGUAAGGUGGGGGACAACCAUUGGAAACGAUGGCUAAUACCGCAUAAUGUCUACGGACCAAAGGGGGCUUCGGCUCUCGCCUUAUGAUCGGCCCAAGUGGGAUUAGCUAGUUGGUAAGGUAAUGGCUUACCAAGGCGACGAUCCCUAGCUGGUUUGAGAGGAUGAUCAGCCACACUGGAACUGAGACACGGUCCAGACUCCUACGGGAGGCAGCAGUGGGGAAUAUUGCACAAUGGGCGCAAGCCUGAUGCAGCCAUGCCGCGUGUGUGAAGAAGGCCUUAGGGUUGUAAAGCACUUUCAGUAAGGAGGAAAGGUUAGUAGUUAAUACCUGCUAGCUGUGACGUACUACA
Molecule: ribosomal RNA, 476 nt
Filed under: Pseudoalteromonas sp. PA17CONT1(2010)
Lineage: Bacteria; Pseudomonadati; Pseudomonadota; Gammaproteobacteria; Alteromonadales; Pseudoalteromonadaceae
Description: bacterial SSU rRNA
Rfam family: Bacterial small subunit ribosomal RNA
Source: RNAcentral